Chenopodium quinoa (quinoa) is the source of this 314-nucleotide long non-coding RNA. RefSeq lists it as uncharacterized. Lineage: Eukaryota; Viridiplantae; Streptophyta; Magnoliopsida; Caryophyllales; Amaranthaceae. The record is from RefSeq and is a predicted model, not a curated record. The transcript is spliced from 2 exons.
AUUCUCUACUUCCACUUUCUCUCUCUAAAAAACUUUCCGAGCGAUGUCGAGGCGGCCCGGCAAGGAAGUGGCGGCACAGGCGGCGGGUGGACAGCGGUUUCCCGGCGAGAAGGCAGAGCUGUUAUUGAUGAACUGCAACAGGCAGAGCUGUUAUUGAUGAACUGGAACGGGCCCUUGAGCAGUGGCAGUGGGCGUCACAGAGAGAUUAUUGAUAUGUCGGCAGUGCAUUUAUAAAACAUUUUCCUAGUUGUUUGUAAAAGUUAACAUUAUCUGUUCUUAUAAUUAUUAUUUUAAGUUCUUAGAAUUUGACAUUA